This 741-nucleotide ribosomal RNA is filed under the name Escherichia coli. Its description in RNAcentral is "partial 23S ribosomal RNA". It matches the Rfam family "Bacterial large subunit ribosomal RNA", at positions 2190 to 2925 of the family's 2925-position model. Lineage: Bacteria; Pseudomonadati; Pseudomonadota; Gammaproteobacteria; Enterobacterales; Enterobacteriaceae. The record is from RNAcentral.
CCUUGAAAUACCACCCUUUAAUGUUUGAUGUUCUAACGUUGGCCCGUAAUCCGGGUUGCGGACAGUGUCUGGUGGGUAGUUUGACUGGGGCGGUCUCCUCCUAAAGAGUAACGGAGGAGCACGAAGGUUGGCUAAUCCUGGUCGGACAUCAGGAGGUUAGUGCAAUGGCAUAAGCCAGCUUGACUGCGAGCGUGACGGCGCGAGCAGGUGCGAAAGCAGGUCAUAGUGAUCCGGUGGUUCUGAAUGGAAGGGCCAUCGCUCAACGGAUAAAAGGUACUCCGGGGAUAACAGGCUGAUACCGCCCAAGAGUUCAUAUCGACGGCGGUGUUUGGCACCUCGAUGUCGGCUCAUCACAUCCUGGGGCUGAAGUAGGUCCCAAGGGUAUGGCUGUUCGCCAUUUAAAGUGGUACGCGAGCUGGGUUUAGAACGUCGUGAGACAGUUCGGUCCCUAUCUGCCGUGGGCGCUGGAGAACUGAGGGGGGCUGCUCCUAGUACGAGAGGACCGGAGUGGACGCAUCACUGGUGUUCGGGUUGUCAUGCCAAUGGCACUGCCCGGUAGCUAAAUGCGGAAGAGAUAAGUGCUGAAAGCAUCUAAGCACGAAACUUGCCCCGAGAUGAGUUCUCCCUGACUCCUUGAGGGUCCUGAAGGAACGUUGAAGACGACGACGUUGAUAGGCCGGGUGUGUAAGCGCAGCGAUGCGUUGAGCUAACCGGUACUAAUGAACCGUGAGGCUUAACCUU